AAAUAAAAUAAAACCUGUGUUAACAGUGCAAAUGAAUUGCACUGUUUACGUCAACAGUGCAAUUCACUGUGAACAGUGCAGUGAAUUGCAUUGUUGCAAUUAAUGUAUAUAGGGAAUGAAAAUUACGUGGAACCCAUGUACAGUAAACUAAUUUUCUUUUUACCAAACGGCUGCAAACUGUGUUUUAAUUAAAACGCAGCCGCAGCCGCAGCGGCGUAAACAAACGGCACCAAAGUAAAGACCUUAGGGAAAGUCAAGGCAUUUGAUGAAGUGAGCAAUAGAGAUCAGGCACAAUGGUUGUGUGGAUGUGUACCCAGGAAUGGAUAAUGGCGUUAAACCCUAAACUUACAUCACCACCAUAGACCUAACUAUCAAAUUUGAAAGGAAGAUAUUGUAAUAUUGCGCAAUGGGACAGUGCCAAGGAGAUGCAUGGUGGCUGUUGAUUAGAAAGCCUGCAAUUCAUACAGGCACUAGUCAUUACAUGAAGCUCAUGUAUGCAGUAUAGAGGAAUCUAUGCAGGAGCUAGCGAUGGUGGAGAGCUGUGAGGAUUAGAUCGAAAAAGUGGUAAAAGCAAGUAAUACUUUAGAACCUGAGUUUGACUCUCAAACCAUAAUUUUCAAAACUCCACCAUCCCUAACUCUCCUGCAUAGAUACUUCUAUACUAAAGUUACAGUAGGAAAUAUAGAAAAUAGGAUAUUCUAUACUAUUAGGACCAAUCUAAACAUAGAAAAUCCUAGUUAGAAUCUUUUAUACUAACAAAGAAAAUAAAUCUACUGAAUAAAAUCCUGGUAAGAAUCAUUUGUGUAUUGAACCAUUUGGACUUGCCAGUAUGUAUUGUCAAAAUGCACCCUUUUCUACUCAUUUUGAUGUGAAAAAUCAGAAAGCCAAAUGCUUUCAAGGAUCCAUUUAAAAUAAUGGCUAACAGCCAAGUGUUCAAAAUGUGCUAGCUUUGUGUUGUGCACAUAGCACAGGCUCCACAUAUGGUUCCUAGGUCAAUAUUGUGUACCUAGGGGCAUGUUUUAGCUCUUAAGCUUCUUGUUCCCUGGCUUAAAAUUAUUCUGCACAUUUUGAUUCUUAACUUUAGCACCUACAAUAUAUGUAUGAUAGCAAUUAAAAUAUCCUGGAGCAGAUGCAUUUAUUUUCAUAAUAAGUGAUUCUAAGGUGUAUGAGACAUAAUAAACUUCUCAGGAUAUAUUAUACCAUCAAACUGAGAAGUUCAAAUGCUU
Populus euphratica (Euphrates poplar) is the source of this 1226-nucleotide long non-coding RNA. RefSeq lists it as uncharacterized. NCBI's taxonomy places the organism in Eukaryota, Viridiplantae, Streptophyta, Magnoliopsida, Malpighiales, Salicaceae. The transcript has 3 exons. The record is from RefSeq and is a predicted model, not a curated record.